GUUAAGGUGGCAGAGCCCGGUUUAAUGCGAGAGACUUAAAUCCUUUUCAGAGGGGUUCAAAUCCCCUGCUUAACU
This 75-nucleotide transfer RNA is filed under the name Monotaxis grandoculis (humpnose big-eye bream). Its description in RNAcentral is "tRNA-Leu". It matches the Rfam family "tRNA". From Rfam's summary of the family: Transfer RNA (tRNA) molecules are approximately 80 nucleotides in length. Their secondary structure includes four short double-helical elements and three loops (D, anti-codon, and T loops). The record is from RNAcentral. Lineage: Eukaryota; Metazoa; Chordata; Actinopteri; Spariformes; Lethrinidae.